AGCGAACGCUGGCGGCAGGCUUAACACAUGCAAGUCGAGCGGGCAUCUUCGGAUGUCAGCGGCAGACGGGUGAGUAACACGUGGGAACGUACCCUUCGGUUCGGAACAACUCUGGGAAACUGGAGCUAAUACCGGAUACGCCCUUAUGGGGAAAGGUUUACUGCCGAAGGAUCGGCCCGCGUCUGAUUAGCUAGUUGGUGGGGUAACGGCCUACCAAGGCGACGAUCAGUAGCUGGUCUGAGAGGAUGAUCAGCCACACUGGGACUGAGACACGGCCCAGACUCCUACGGGAGGCAGCAGUGGGGAAUAUUGGACAAUGGGCGCAAGCCUGAUCCAGCCAUGCCGCGUGAGUGAUGAAGGCCUUAGGGUUGUAAAGCUCUUUUGUCCGGGACGAUAAUGACGGUACCGGAAGAAUAAGCCCCGGCUAACUCCGUG
RNAcentral lists this ribosomal RNA (435 nucleotides) under uncultured bacterium. RNAcentral's name for it is "partial 16S ribosomal RNA". It matches the Rfam family "Bacterial small subunit ribosomal RNA", at positions 29 to 507 of the family's 1533-position model. The record is from RNAcentral.